AAUAUAAUAAUACUCGUAGGAAAGGUUUUCACCUUUAGUUCACAAUCUAUGGAUAACAUACGAUUAGAAAGGUAAAAAAAGUAUGUAAAACAUCACAGCACAAUUGAAAAACAUAUGACACAUGGAAACCAAAUGAGGGUGGUCUAUGGUGAUAGGUGGGAUGGGCUGAGUGGCUGAGGGGUGGGGUUAAAGAGCCGAGGUCUAUGGUGAUAGGUGGGAUGGGCUGAGUGGCUGAGAGUUGAGGUUAAGAGCUGAGGUCUAUGGUGAUAGGUGGGAUGGGCUGAGUGGCUGAGAGUUGAGAUUAAGAGCUGAGGUCUAUGGUGAUAGGUGGGAUGGGCUGAGUGGCUGAGAGUUGAGAUUAAGAGCUGAG
Molecule: long non-coding RNA, 370 nt
Organism: Oncorhynchus tshawytscha (Chinook salmon)
Lineage: Eukaryota; Metazoa; Chordata; Actinopteri; Salmoniformes; Salmonidae
Source: Ensembl